Myiozetetes cayanensis is the source of this 267-nucleotide long non-coding RNA. RefSeq lists it as uncharacterized. The record is from RefSeq and is a predicted model, not a curated record. The transcript is spliced from 3 exons. Lineage: Eukaryota; Metazoa; Chordata; Aves; Passeriformes; Tyrannidae.
CCCUGGCACCGCCCCCUGCUCGCCAGGUAAGGGCUGGCACCGCCCCUGCUCGCCAGGUAAGCCCUGGCACCGCCCCUGCUCGCCAGGUAAGCCCUGGCACCGCCCCCUGCUCGCCAGGUAAGCCCUGGCACCGCCCCCUCCCCCGUCCCAGCAGCCCUUCCCUGGCAGGGGGGGGCACUGGGUGGGCUCUGAGGGCCCCUCCCCGCCCCAAACCAGGACGGCAUUCCGUGGGUUUUGGGAUUUAGUGCCCAGCGUGGGGGGAGCAAU